GGGAAUGUAGCUUAAUGGUAGAGUGCUUGCCUUCCAUGCACGAAGCCUGGGUUCAAUUUCUCAGCACCA
Molecule: transfer RNA, 69 nt
Filed under: Dipodomys ordii (Ord's kangaroo rat)
Lineage: Eukaryota; Metazoa; Chordata; Mammalia; Rodentia; Heteromyidae
Rfam family: tRNA
About the family: Transfer RNA (tRNA) molecules are approximately 80 nucleotides in length.
Source: Rfam by way of RNAcentral